GACGAACGCUGGCGGCGUGCUUAACACAUGCAAGUCGAACGCUGAAGCUUGGUGCUUGCACUGGGUGGAUGAGUGGCGAACGGGUGAGUAAUACGUGAGUAACCUGCCCUUGACUCUGGGAUAAGCCUGGGAAACUGGGUCUAAUACUGGAUACGACAUGUCACCGCAUGGUGGUGUGUGGAAAGGGUUUUACUGGUUUUGGAUGGGCUCACGGCCUAUCAGCUUGUUGGUGGGGUAAUGGCUCACCAAGGCGACGACGGGUAGCCGGCCUGAGAGGGUGACCGGCCACCCUGGGACUGAGACACCGCCCAGACUCCUACGGGAGGCAGCAGUGGGGAAUAUUGCACAAUGGGCGGAAGCCUGAUGCAGCGACGCCGCGUGAGGGAUGACGGCCUUCGGGUUGUAAACCUCUUUCAGCACGGAAGAAGCGAAAGUGACGGUACGUGCAGAAGAAGCGCCGGCUAACUACGUG
This 472-nucleotide ribosomal RNA is filed under the name uncultured bacterium. Its description in RNAcentral is "partial 16S ribosomal RNA". It matches the Rfam family "Bacterial small subunit ribosomal RNA", at positions 28 to 507 of the family's 1533-position model. The record is from RNAcentral.